RNAcentral lists this long non-coding RNA (3059 nucleotides) under Mus musculus (house mouse). RNAcentral describes it as "long non-coding RNA chr2:34433597-34436656". Lineage: Eukaryota; Metazoa; Chordata; Mammalia; Rodentia; Muridae. The record is from RNAcentral.
ACCCUGUCUCAAAAAACCAAAAAAAAAAAAAAAAAUAAUAAUAAUAAGAUUACUUCCCAGCAUCUGGAGGGACUUUUAUCAAAAUAGGGUUUGAGUGCAGGUUUGCAUAUAAUUUAGAGCCAUUGAUACUCAGUGCUGUAGUCGGAAUAUCCUUGCAAGUCAGUGUGACAGCUGUGUGGAUUUCACCAGAUUAUGCUGCCCAGUGAUAUUACUAUGGCUACACUCUUCAUAGUUAUUAAUUACAUUGUAAUGUGUUUUUCCUCAAUGGAUUUGAUUAGAUACAGUGACGUGAUAAUGCUUUUGUAAGCCCAGGCUGUGGUGGUGUGUGCAGCACUGGUGAGGCAGAAGCAGGCAGAGCUCUGAGUCUGAGGCCAGCCUGGUGUCUAGAGCUCGUUUCAGGACAUCCAGGGCUACACAGAGAAGCUUUUGUCUUGGAAAAAAAAUAUCAGACAAACAAAGAAACAAAAAAAGAAUGCUUUGCCAGCGUAGUUUAAAUUUCUAGCAAGAUUAUUUCCAGUGUUCUUCCACCCUAGUGCUUUUCCCACCUUGAAAGUGAUUGUAAAGAAAAUUAUUUUAGUUUUUUUUCUUCUUUUUCUUUUUCUUUAUUGUCAAAUGUGUGUGCCUUAACAGGAUGUUGAAAAUGAGCAAAAGAAAAUAAGCUUUGAGAGAGGCCUCAGUUCUCACUUUUCUCAGUUGUGGCCUUGGGCAGCAGUUGCUAAUGGAUACUAGUAGUCUCUCUUUGAAGAACCAGGCCACUGGUUUCUGAAGGUUGAAGGCUGAUCAGUCAGUGGUAUUAAAAUCAUAAAUGUAAUUUUAGGUGACUCUUGAAGCUGAAAUUUCUUUUGUUAACAAUGAGGUAGCAGUUAAUUGGUGAUCAAGGAAUUUACUUUUUAAUCUUUUCAGUACAUCUUAAAGUUUUUUAAAGAAAAAUUGUUCUUUUUAAGAUUUGACUAAUGUUACAAAGAUACAAAUCAUUUAUUUUACUACCUAUAAACUGUUUCAGCCCACUGAAGAAAAGCUAUGCUAAUUUAUAUAGCUUUGACAUUUUAUAAUUUUCAUGAUUUUUAGAUAAAGGAUUUUAUAUUUAAAACUUUAAUAGUCUAGUCUGAGUUCAUUUAUCUUUAAUUUUUGAAACGGGUAGAGUAAUUCAUAACAGUAAUUUUAUUCCUGUAAUGUAAUAUUCACUUCAGUUCAUUUGUGCAUUAAAAUUCCUUUAAGACCGUUAUUAAUGAUUUAUAUAAUGAAAUGUCAUAUUAAUCACAGAAGUUUUCACAUUUUAUUAUUCUCUUCCAUGUUAAUACUAUCUUUAUGAUCUCUAUUAAUGUUUUAUAUCCUCUAAUUUCAAUUAUAAAUCAAGAAUAUUUUCAUGUUUUUGUUGGUAUUUGCUUUUCAGGGGUGCCACCUUUAAAAUUUUAUGACUUUUUCCCUCCAUAUGCAAUAUAAAACAUCUUUAUUCAUAUAAAGGUAGUUAAUUAUGUCUUUGUUUAUAGUAAACUUUCAUUGACAAACUUAUAGUUAUAAUAUUUCUUUUCAAGCUCAAAGAUUAGAACGACUCCGCAAAGAGAGACAAAACCAGAUCAAAUGCAAAAAUAUUCAGUGGAAAGAAAGAAAUUCUAAACAAUCAGGUAAAUAGACAUAACUUUCAUUUAUGAUUUGGAAUUUGUAUAUUUAGUUUAUAUCAUUAUGUAUGGGUUUUUUUCUUUUAAUCUCUCUUUCGAAGUGUAUGCCAUUUGUGUUUUAAGCUUUGUGCUCUGUCUGUGUGUGUUAACCUCUGAAGCUGUGUGUUCCUUAUGUGUUGUUGCCUGGCCCCUGCACGCUGGUUCUCAGGACUUAGUUAAUUUGGGCAAAGGGCCUUUAAAAGCACGACUCUGGUACCUUGUUCUUGGGACCAAGGAGAGUAUAUACUUUUUAAAAUCUGUUUAAGUUACAGAUUCAUUCAUACAGUUCUAUUUUUCUUUAUUCAUUCUUUUAUUGUUUCUACACACAUAAACAUUUGUUGAAUCAGAGAUCAGCUUGCAGCAAUCCAUUUUCUCCUAUUGUAUACAUUCAGAGAAUUAAACAUGGGUUCUUGUUAUGGCAGCCAGAACCUUUACUGGCUGAGCUACUGUGCUGGCCCCAUUUGUGUAGUCCUAACCUAGACUUUUUACAUGCUUCAGUGUCCAUAAUAGCUACCUUUUCUGCUUACAUGUGUUGACUCUUUCAGUUAAAAAUCCAAUCUGGGAUUGUUAGCAUUGAGAUUUUAUGUGUUCAUACACUAUAUGUAUAUAUAGGCUGGCUGGCCAUAUAAUAAUAAUAACAAUAACAAUAAUAACAAUAAUAAUAAUAAUAAUUAUUAUUAUUAUUAGACUGGCCUUAUUAUUAUUAUUGUUGUUGUUAUCAUCAUUAUUAUUACUACUUUUUAAGUUUUUACUAUAGACAUUUUCUUUACAAUUGAAACUCUGGGCUUUUAAAAUCCUUGCCUGUGAGCUUCUUACCCACUCCAGACAAAGUUUUGACCUUGUGCUCCAUGUUGUUGUCUAUGCCUUGUCUAAUGAGUCUGUAUGCUGUCUGCCAUCAGGCUUUGCACAGACUCUUUUCCCACAGUGUGACCUGGAGAGAGCAAGUCCUCCUGGCUGGUGAUCUGUGGUGGCGUCAGGGCAGCUUUGGGUGCUUUUGUUUAUUUUCACAUGUCUUUUCCCAGCUGGCUUGGGCAGACCCCACCUCUGAGCAGUGAAGACAACAUGCUUCUCACUUCUCCAGUUCACAAACUGGCCGGAUUGGGAUUUUCUGGGAAGAUUUCAGCUGAGGAACUGGCACAAAAGUCAUGAUAGCUUUCUGAGCACUACCAAUUUCACUUUCCUUGGCUGCAGUGAUACUGAGUUCCUGGAGCUAUGCCUUGAGAUCAGAGCUCAUCUCCUGUGCAAGCAGCGCUUGAGAGAUCCCUGACUCAAACUUGUCUGGCUUUUUGCCAUUGGGCUUCAUAAUCUCAGUGCUCAGAUUGAACAUGGCCUUGUCUUUAUGGCUUAGAAAGACAUAAAAAAUUAGAAAAUAUUACAUAUUUUCAAUAUUUCAUUUUCAUC